RNAcentral lists this small RNA (498 nucleotides) under Pongo abelii (Sumatran orangutan). RNAcentral describes it as "processed transcript". Lineage: Eukaryota; Metazoa; Chordata; Mammalia; Primates; Hominidae. The record is from RNAcentral.
UCAUUGCCAAAUCCUCCAUCAAAGAUCCAGAGAAUGGAGAAGCCAAUCAUAAACCACACCUGACUGCAAAUUGCAGCAUUCCUUCAGCCCAGGCCAGAUCUCAGAUGAGUUAAAUGCUGCUCCAAGACAGGGAAAUAAACAUGUGCACCAGCUUGUCAGUGAGGUCAUUUCUUCUGCCAGCAAAGUAACGGAUGCCUUGAGAAUGUAAAAUGGACAUAUUGUGGAUGUUACAAACUUUCCUUCUCCCUUGCAUUCGUUUCUUGGCCUUCAAGAAAAUAAAGUUAUCAGAUGAGCCUGUAGAAGCAAAAGAAGAUUACACUAAGUUUAAUACUAAAGAUUUGAAGACUGAAAAGAAAAAUAGCAAAAUGACUGCAGCUCAGAAGGCUUUGGCUAAAGUUGACAAGAGUGGAAUGAAAAGUAUUGAUACCUUUUUUGGUGUAAAAAAUAAAAAAAAAAUUGGAAAGGUUUGAAACUUUGAAAAUAAAAUCUAGCAAAAAU